Molecule: ribosomal RNA, 119 nt
Filed under: Lepisosteus oculatus (spotted gar)
Lineage: Eukaryota; Metazoa; Chordata; Actinopteri; Semionotiformes; Lepisosteidae
Source: RNAcentral
GCCAGCAGCCAUAUCACCCGGCAGUUCACAGCUGGCAGCCAACUGGAGCGCAGCAGGUGUGAGCCUGGUCAGUACCUGGAUGGGAGACCUCCUGGGAAAAACUAAGGCUGCUGCUGGAA